CGGAUAUUUGACUUGUCAUUGUGUUUUCAGUUCAUCAAAGUUAGCUCCAACAUGUUGUUUGCCUGAAAAUAUCUUGUUCGGCGUUCAGUUGUUAUAAAAGACACUCAGAGGAAUCAGCGGUUCAGUUUUUCCGGUUUCCACACUGUGAAAACCGAGUGAUCUGUGCCAACAGAAGGAGGACCUCGUGUACAGAGCAGCCCAUUAGUUUCCAUUCAUCUGGUUGUGGAGAAGGGAGACUUCAUGGACAUCCUUAGUUCUCUAAUGUGCUGUGAUGAUGAUGGUAGAAAACCACUCCCAGUUCAGCUUCCUCUGAUGAAAUGACAGACUAACUGCUGAUGAGUUUGUUUAUUAUUCUCUGUCUUCAGUAUUCACAGGUUCAGUUUCUUACCUGCAACUUCAUUUCUGCUGUUGUUGACAGGUGAUAGUAGCAACACUUUUAAGAACAGAAUUUAUAAAUAUUAAACUGUGAUUAAGUGAUGGAUCAUCUUUAGCACUGUCACCACCUCCACAGGUGAAAGUAUUUACCAAGUAACAUCAGCAAGGUUUUUGAUCCUUCAUUGUCAGUGUUGUCGGACAACAUUUAAACAAUUCUAGUAUUUAUGUUGUUAAUUAAAGCUAACAUAAAAAUAGUCACACAAUGCUGUACAUGUUACUAUUGUGAAAAUUCAUACCAGAUGUGCUCUGUAAAAACCAGCAACAAAGUUAAAGCAAGAGCUUCAUAAAUAACUUUAUUGGACAUUAUAAACUACAUUAAUUUAAACAAUUUACAACACUGGAAAUGUAUAAAAGAAUGUAAUAAAUGGAUUAAUUAAAUACUGUAGUGUACAAUUUAUAAUCAACUAACUAUUUAAAAUCAAAAUACAGUUGUGGAUGAAGUUAAAGCUGAAUUUCUCUGUCAUAUGUAAGUUUGCUUAAUAAAAAGAAGUAGUUGAA
Molecule: long non-coding RNA, 933 nt
Organism: Seriola aureovittata
Lineage: Eukaryota; Metazoa; Chordata; Actinopteri; Carangiformes; Carangidae
Exons: 2
Source: RefSeq, a predicted model, not a curated record